AGAGGUGGAACACUGUCCUUGAUCAAAAUCUGUGCGGGAAGUCACCUAGUUCCACAUUACCAGAGGCACAGGAAGUCUCAGAUCUUUUUGGGGUCAAGACUUCAGGUUUGCUUUUGUUAAAUUUGAGGAGCUUUGGAGAUCUCUCAGCAGCCAGAAGCCUCCCCAAAGAAGGUGGACGAUGAGCAAGUGAGAAAGGGAAGAAGGGGAUGAGAACUCCUGGUUGGGGGAAAAGAUGACCAGAAAGAGAAAGUAAAGCCAGAGCCAUGUGAAUCACAAAAAUGAAGACAAACAAAUAAAAAAUGAUGACAAAGACACCUCCCAGCAAAUGAGGAUUCUUCACUUACUGAGCCACCCAAGAAGCCCAAAAUAGGCUGCUGGGCAAACCAAUUAGGUGAUCACCAUGCUUCAGUUCCUGACUCCGCCCGUGCUCCACCACCAGGCUCAGGUGUGCUCCUGGAAGUAUCACUCAUUCUUCCUCCCCAGGUUGGGCUAGGUGGGUGUGUGUGUGUGUGUGUUCAGUUGCUCAGUCUUGUCCGACUCUUGGCAACCCAUGGACUGCAACCCACCAGGCUCCUCUGUCUCUGGGAUAUUCCAGGUAAGAAUACUGGAGU
Long non-coding RNA from Bubalus bubalis (water buffalo), 611 nucleotides. RefSeq lists it as uncharacterized. The transcript has 4 exons. The record is from RefSeq and is a predicted model, not a curated record. Lineage: Eukaryota; Metazoa; Chordata; Mammalia; Artiodactyla; Bovidae.